CAGUCGCCGCGGUAAUACAGAGGCCUCAAGCGUUGUUCGGAUUCAUUGGGCGUAAAGGGAGCGUAGGCGGUCGGGUAAGUCGGAUGUGAAAUCCUAGGGCUCAACCUCAGAACUGCAUUCGAUACUGCUUGGCUAGAGGACUGGAGAGGUGAGUGGAAUUCACGGUGUAGCAGUGAAAUGCGUAGAUAUCGUGAGGAAGACCAGCGGCGAAGGCGGCUCACUGGACAGUUUCUGACGCUGAUGCUCGAAGGCCAGGGGAGCAAACGGGAUUAGAUACCCCAGUAGUCCCUGUCUCUUAUAC
This 301-nucleotide ribosomal RNA is filed under the name uncultured bacterium. RNAcentral's name for it is "partial 16S ribosomal RNA". It matches the Rfam family "Bacterial small subunit ribosomal RNA", at positions 509 to 807 of the family's 1533-position model. The record is from RNAcentral.